Molecule: ribosomal RNA, 1372 nt
Filed under: uncultured bacterium
Lineage: Bacteria
Description: bacterial SSU rRNA
Rfam family: Bacterial small subunit ribosomal RNA
Source: RNAcentral
GAUGAACGCUGGCGGCGUGCCUAAUACAUGCAAGUCGAGCGAACGGACGAGAAGCUUGCUUCUCUGAUGUUAGCGGCGGACGGGUGAGUAACACGUGGAUAACCUACCUAUAAGACUGGGAUAACUUCGGGAAACCGGAGCUAAUACCGGAUAAUAUUUUGAACCGCAUGGUUCAAAAGUGAAAGACGGUCUUGCUGUCACUUAUAGAUGGAUCCGCGCUGCAUUAGCUAGUUGGUAAGGUAACGGCUUACCAAGGCAACGAUGCAUAGCCGACCUGAGAGGGUGAUCGGCCACACUGGAACUGAGACACGGUCCAGACUCCUACGGGAGGCAGCAGUAGGGAAUCUUCCGCAAUGGGCGAAAGCCUGACGGAGCAACGCCGCGUGAGUGAUGAAGGUCUUCGGAUCGUAAAACUCUGUUAUUAGGGAAGAACAUAUGUGUAAGUAACUGUGCACAUCUUGACGGUACCUAAUCAGAAAGCCACGGCUAACUACGUGCCAGCAGCCGCGGUAAUACGUAGGUGGCAAGCGUUAUCCGGAAUUAUUGGGCGUAAAGCGCGCGUAGGCGGUUUUUUAAGUCUGAUGUGAAAGCCCACGGCUCAACCGUGGAGGGUCAUUGGAAACUGGAAAACUUGAGUGCAGAAGAGGAAAGUGGAAUUCCAUGUGUAGCGGUGAAAUGCGCAGAGAUAUGGAGGAACACCAGUGGCGAAGGCGACUUUCUGGUCUGUAACUGACGCUGAUGUGCGAAAGCGUGGGGAUCAAACAGGAUUAGAUACCCUGGUAGUCCACGCCGUAAACGAUGAGUGCUAAGUGUUAGGGGGUUUCCGCCCCUUAGUGCUGCAGCUAACGCAUUAGGCACUCCGCCUGGGGAGUACGACCGCAAGGUUGAAACUCAAAGGAAUUGACGGGGACCCGCACAAGCGGUGGAGCAUGUGGUUUAAUUCGAAGCAACGCGAAGAACCUUACCAAAUCUUGACAUCCUUUGACAACUCUAGAGAUAGAGCCUUCCCCUUCGGGGGACAAAGUGACAGGUGGUGCAUGGUUGUCGUCAGCUCGUGUCGUGAGAUGUUGGGUUAAGUCCCGCAACGAGCGCAACCCUUAAGCUUAGUUGCCAUCAUUAAGUUGGGCACUCUAAGUUGACUGCCGGUGACAAACCGGAGGAAGGUGGGGAUGACGUCAAAUCAUCAUGCCCCUUAUGAUUUGGGCUACACACGUGCUACAAUGGACAAUACAAAGGGCAGCGAAACCGCGAGGUCAAGCAAAUCCCAUAAAGUUGUUCUCAGUUCGGAUUGUAGUCUGCAACUCGACUACAUGAAGCUGGAAUCGCUAGUAAUCGUAGAUCAGCAUGCUACGGUGAAUACGUUCCCGGGUCU